AGAGUUUGAUCCUGGCUCAGAGUGAACGCUGGCGGCGUGCUUAACACAUGCAAGUCGAACGAGAACGGGUUAUAGCUUGCUAUAAUUGUCAGCUAAGUGGCGCACGGGUGAGUAAUGUAUAGGUAAUAUGCCUCUUACUAAGGGAUAACAAAUGGAAACGUUUGCUAAUACCUUAUACUCCUUGUUAACUUAAGUUAAUAAGGGAAAGAUUUAUUGGUAAGAGAUUAGCCUGUAUUGUAUCAGUUAGUUGGUGGGGUAAUGGCCUACCAAGACUAUGACACAUAACUGGUUUGAGAGGAUGAUCAGUCACACUGGAACUGAGACACGGUCCAGACUCCUACGGGAGGCAGCAGUGGGGAAUAUUGCACAAUGGACGAAAGUCUGAUGCAGCAACGCCGCGUGGAGGAUGACACAUUUCGGUGCGUAAACUCCUUUUAUAUGAGAAGAUAAUGACGGUAUUAUAUGAAUAAGCACCGGCUAACUCCGUGCCAGCAGCCGCGGUAAUACGGGGGGUGCAAGCGUUACUCGGAAUCACUGGGCGUAAAGAGCAUGUAGGCGGAUUAAUAAGUUUGGAGUGAAAUCCUAUAGCUUAACUAUAGAACUGCUUUGAAAACUGUUAAUCUAGAAUGUGGGAGAGGUAGAUGGAAUUUCUGGUGUAGGGGUAAAAUCCGUAGAGAUCAGAAGGAAUACCGAUUGCGAAGGCGAUCUA
This 709-nucleotide ribosomal RNA is filed under the name uncultured bacterium. RNAcentral describes it as "bacterial SSU rRNA". It matches the Rfam family "Bacterial small subunit ribosomal RNA", at positions 8 to 728 of the family's 1533-position model. The record is from RNAcentral.